GACGAACGCUGGCGGCGUGCUUAAUACAUGCAAGUCGAACGGACAGGUCCUGAUUUUGCGGGGUGCUCGAGUGGCGAACGGGGGAGUAACACGUGAGUAACCUGUCCUUGACUUUGUGAUAUCUCCAGGAGAAUGGGGCUAAUACAGGAUAGGAGAUACUGCUCCAUGGUGGGGAUUGGAAAGUUUCGGUGGUUGGGGAUGGAAUCGCGGCUUAUCAGCUUGUUGGUGUGGUAGUGGCUUACAAAGGUUUCGAAGGGUACCCGGCCUGGGAGGCUGAACAGCCACAUUGGGACUAAGAGACGGACCAGACGGGUAUGGGACGCAGCAGGCGAGAAUAUUGCGGAAUGGGCGGAAGCCUGAUGCAGCAACGCCGCGAGCGUAAUGACGGCCUUCGGGUUGUAAACCGCUUUCGCCUGUGACAAAGCGUGAGUGACGGUAAUGGGUAAAGAAGCACCGGCUAACUACGUG
RNAcentral lists this ribosomal RNA (468 nucleotides) under uncultured bacterium. RNAcentral's name for it is "partial 16S ribosomal RNA". It matches the Rfam family "Bacterial small subunit ribosomal RNA", at positions 28 to 507 of the family's 1533-position model. The record is from RNAcentral.